This 450-nucleotide ribosomal RNA is filed under the name uncultured Glomeromycotina. RNAcentral describes it as "SSU rRNA". It matches the Rfam family "Eukaryotic small subunit ribosomal RNA", at positions 569 to 1025 of the family's 1831-position model. Lineage: Eukaryota; Fungi; Glomeromycota. The record is from RNAcentral.
AGCAGCCGCGGUAAUUCCAGCUCCAAUAGCGUAUAUUAAAGUUGUUGCAGUUAAAAAGCUCGUAGUUGAAUUUCGGGAUCAAUAUGUUGGUCGUGCCUCGGUACGUACCAGCUUAUUGGUUUCUCCUUUCUGAAGAACCAUGAUGUCAUUUAUUUGGUGUCGUGGGGAAUCAGGACUGUUACUUUGAAAAAAUUAGAGUGUUUAAAGCAGGCUCACGCUUGAAUACAUUAGCAUGGAAUAAUGAAAUAGGACGUUUGAUUCUAUUUUGUUGGUUUCUAGGAUCGACGUAAUGAUUAAUAGGGAUAGUUGGGGGCAUUAGUAUUCAAUUGUCAGAGGUGAAAUUCUUGGAUUUAUUGAAGACUAACUACUGCGAAAGCAUUUGCCAAGGAUGUUUUCAUUAAUCAAGAACGAAAGUUAGGGGAUCGAAGACGAUCAGAUACCGUCGUAGUC